RNAcentral lists this ribosomal RNA (928 nucleotides) under Bacillus sp. (in: firmicutes). RNAcentral describes it as "bacterial SSU rRNA". It matches the Rfam family "Bacterial small subunit ribosomal RNA", at positions 1 to 888 of the family's 1533-position model. Lineage: Bacteria; Bacillati; Bacillota; Bacilli; Caryophanales; Bacillaceae. The record is from RNAcentral.
UUUUUCACCCCACAACCCCGCCCCCUUAUGAGUUUUGGAUUCUGCUCAGGACGAACGCUGGCGGCGUGCCUAAUACAUGCAAGUCGAGCGGACAGAUGGGAGCUUGCUCCCUGAUGUUAGCGGCGGACGGGUGAGUAACACGUGGGUAACCUGCCUGUAAGACUGGGAUAACUCCGGGAAACCGGGGCUAAUACCGGAUGCUUGUUUGAACCGCAUGGUUCAAACAUAAAAGGUGGCUUCGGCUACCACUUACAGAUGGACCCGCGGCGCAUUAGCUAGUUGGUGAGGUAAUGGCUCACCAAGGCAACGAUGCGUAGCCGACCUGAGAGGGUGAUCGGCCACACUGGGACUGAGACACGGCCCAGACUCCUACGGGAGGCAGCAGUAGGGAAUCUUCCGCAAUGGACGAAAGUCUGACGGAGCAACGCCGCGUGAGUGAUGAAGGUUUUCGGAUCGUAAAGCUCUGUUGUUAGGGAAGAACAAGUACCGUUCGAAUAGGGCGGUACCUUGACGGUACCUAACCAGAAAGCCACGGCUAACUACGUGCCAGCAGCCGCGGUAAUACGUAGGUGGCAAGCGUUGUCCGGAAUUAUUGGGCGUAAAGGGCUCGCAGGCGGUUUCUUAAGUCUGAUGUGAAAGCCCCCGGCUCAACCGGGGAGGGUCAUUGGAAACUGGGGAACUUGAGUGCAGAAGAGGAGAGUGGAAUUCCACGUGUAGCGGUGAAAUGCGUAGAGAUGUGGAGGAACACCAGUGGCGAAGGCGACUCUCUGGUCUGUAACUGACGCUGAGGAGCGAAAGCGUGGGGAGCGAACAGGAUUAGAUACCCUGGUAGUCCACGCCGUAAACGAUGAGUGCUAAGUGUUAGGGGGUUUCCGCCCCUUAGUGCUGCAGCUAACGCAUUAAGCACUCCGCCUGGGAGACGCACCGG